Long non-coding RNA from Agrilus planipennis (emerald ash borer), 267 nucleotides. RefSeq lists it as uncharacterized. The transcript is spliced from 3 exons. The record is from RefSeq and is a predicted model, not a curated record. Lineage: Eukaryota; Metazoa; Arthropoda; Insecta; Coleoptera; Buprestidae.
UUUAAAACUUUAGUUUCACUCUUGCAAUAUGGUUUAAGAUUGUAAAAAUAACAUGAGGGACAUAGAGCUAGCCCCACGCAAGGACAAUCUGGAUAGAAGCAACUGGGCCUAAGACUGUCAUAAUCACACGAGGGACGUAGAAAGAGCCCCACGCAUGGACAAUAUGGACUGAAGUAACCGUUUCACCCUUACAAUAUGGUCUAAGAUUGUAAAAACAACAUGAGGGACAUAGAGCUACCCCCACGCAAGGACAAUAUGGAUAGUAGC